AGUGAACGCUGGCGGUAGGCCUAACACAUGCAAGUCGAACGGCAGCACAGGAGAGCUUGCUCUCUGGGUGGCGAGUGGCGGACGGGUGAGGAAUACAUCGGAAUCUACUCUGUCGUGGGGGAUAACGUAGGGAAACUUACGCUAAUACCGCAUACGGCCUACGGGUGAAAGCAGGGGACCUUCGGGCCAUGCGCGAUUGAAUGAGCCGAUGUCGGAUUAGCUAGUUGGCGGGGUAAAGGCCCACCAAGGCGACGAUCCGUAGCUGGUCUGAGAGGAUGAUCAGCCACACUGGAACUGAGACACGGUCCAGACUCCUACGGGAGGCAGCAGUGGGGAAUAUUGGACAAUGGGCGCAAGCCUGAUCCAGCCAUACCGCGUGGGUGAAGAAGGCCUUCGAGUUGUAAAGCCCUUUUGUUGGGAAAGAAAUCCAGCUGGCUAAUACCCGGUUGGGAUGACGGUACCCAAGGAAUAAGCACCGGCUAACUUCGUGCCAGCAGCCGCCGUAA
RNAcentral lists this ribosomal RNA (506 nucleotides) under uncultured bacterium. RNAcentral's name for it is "partial 16S ribosomal RNA". It matches the Rfam family "Bacterial small subunit ribosomal RNA", at positions 29 to 523 of the family's 1533-position model. The record is from RNAcentral.